AUAAUUUUUUAAGGAAUGUCUCCCCCAAAUGGGAACAAUUUCAUUCUACACUUUCAACAAACUGUAUUUAACAUUAAAAGAGAACUGAUAAAACAUAUUUAAUUACUCAAGGUUAGACUUCUAAUUCCUCAAUUCACUAAAGGAAACUUGGCAAGAAGAUGCAUCAUUUUGCUGCUUUCUAGUGGAGCAUCUGAGGGAGAAGAGCCACUGAGGCAGCUAAUACACAAAACAUGAUCAAAAGUGAUUAACAACAGCUUCAUAUGCAAAUUGCAUUAAUGAAGGAGUGCAAAGUCAUCAUGUAAAUUAAAUAUGUCAAAUCUCUUGGUGAACUUUCAAUCUUGAGAAGAAAAAACACUGCUUUAAUUUUUUUACAUCAUCAAUUUUCCAAGAUUGAAAAUCUAAGAAUCUUGGUGCUAUAAAACAAUUUUCACCUUUUUUUUCUCCUUCAGCAGCCUGACAGGCUGGCCUGAUGUGUGCCGAAUGCACAUGUUAAUAGGCCAAUCAAAAAUGCAAAACAAUUCGCAAUUACUGCAAGGACCUAAUGGUCAUUAGAAUUUACAACUAGGUAAUGAACUAAAGUCUGCCCACACCAUGCAUAUUCAUAAAGCAAUUUAGCCUUUGAAGAUUAAAGAAGUGCUUAAAAUUCAAAUGAGCUUUAGCAAAUUAUCAGUAAGAUUCAUCCAAAAAGCAAAAGGGUUUUCUUCCUAUGAUUUCCUUAUUUUUAUAAUGCAAAAUUGUUGUAUCUUUCAGACUGAGCUUAAACCAAACACAGGGCUUCAAGUCAAGCCAAAGGGGCUAGAGACAAACAGAGGCAGAAAACAUUGUUAUGGACUCUGUUCAUAAAACUAAGCCCUUAAGAGCCAAACCUAUCUCUAAACAUGGUAAUUUAUCAAAAGCAGCACAGACUUGCUCAUAGGCAGUAUUGUGUGCUGCUCUCAGAGAGCAGAUUAACAAGAUUUCCGCCACCCUCCAAAAAAGCCUUUUUAGCCGCAAGUCACAUCUUCCGUGUAAACGUCAAAUGUAUUAUAAAAACAUUAUUUUCAUCAAAGUACAGUGGUAUUAAUUUUAAAAAGUUUGUGCAUGUAGGAAUGGGGGGAAAAGGCGCACAUGCUGAACUGUGUAAUAAAGGAAGUUGGUUAAUUUCUGAUGUGUGUAAAUCCAGUCAAUUUGGCACUGGGCAUCUAAAUGGAUCAUACAGAUGUCAGCUGACAAUCAAGAAGUUUGUUCUGCUGUUAGUCGACAUUGUGGGAUCUGCAAUUAUCAGCCUUUCAAUGUGGACCAGGCUCUUGGGCACGAUCCUGUAAGCACCUACUGUGAAGCAUGUUUACCAUAGUGAGUAACCCCCUAGACAUCAACAGGACUAAACACGGCUUAUGCUGCUAUGAACAGGGCUGCUAACAGGAGCAAGUGCAUACAGGAUGGAGCCAAAUAUUCACAGCUAAAGCCUACAGUGCAUUUAGGUAUUGAUUUAAGAAUGUAGAUAUUCUAAGGAACCAAGUUUUGUGAAUGAAGCAGGGAUUGUGUUUUUUGCCUUCAAGGUGAACUGGCUUUGAAGGAUUACAGAACAUUCAAAUAAUUUAUAUUCCCCCGCCCCACACCUCAGACUAUAUUCCAGAACUUUUCUUACCUGCAAGCUUUUAGAACAAAAAAGAGACUGGCUACUAUUUAUGUUCCUUUGAUCAUUUCUUCUCCUUGUGUCUUAUUCACCAACUAUUCACAUUUUAACAUUUAUUAGAAAAAAUAGAGUUCAGUACUGCGUGAAAGCCGCAUCAACAAACAUCUGUAUCAGCCACAGGUCUCCAGUUCUGACCAAUUCUCUUUGACACUAACAUUACUUUACAUGAGUAGAGUUCAAUGAGUGCUGAUAUGGGAUAUGACAGGGUAAAUCAGAAUUAGAUUAAAAACAAAAGUUUAGAAACCAACACUAUGCUGCCAAGCAAAUGGCUCUUGAAGGCCAAAUUUCUCAAACUGCCUUCAAGUCAUUUCCCCUAUUAGAUUUUUUUUCUCUUUCUCUGCUUUUAAAGCAGCUCCAGUGCACAACAGUAAAAUUAUACAUAAGGACUCUAAAUAUUCCUAAAAUAAAGCAAUUAACUUAUUUCCAGAAUUCUGCAAGCAAUCGUGACAGACUACCCUGAACAGAAAGCAGGAGUCGUGAUCCCUGACCCUCGGCCAACACAAAAGAGGCAGCCCUAGUACAAUGCCUGCUGUCAGCAACUGAAUUAUUUUUAUACAGGAAUUUUUAUCUCUAUUGUACAAACAAGUAUGUGUCUGUGCUGACUUGUUAAGCAAUCCACUUGUAUGUAGAAUAAGAUUUUUUUUUCUGCUACCAGUCACACAGCUCUAAGAUCAGAAGAAAUACACAGUCUUUGAAGCUCCUCAAAUGUUUUAGUUAAAAGGACAGCAGUUGUUUUCAAAGAUCCAAGAGUAUCUUUAUCAGAAUUUAAUUUUUCCUUAUUGAUUUUUUCUAACAUAACACAAAUUUAACAUAGGACAGUUUACAUUUAUUACAAAAUAAUACAACCAUUAAAUAAUUCUUUAGGAGGUAACAUUCUUUUUUAAAAUGCAGACAACACAACUUUUAAUUUGCUCGCAGAAAACGGAGACCCACAAUAAUGUUUCUUUUGAAUAAGACUAUUAAAAAAAUCAGCAACAAUAAUAAAUGAUUUCAUGUCACUGAUUACACCCAAACAGUAAAUGUACACUUUACAAAAACGGGUUGAAGUGCAAUGACUUAGUUGAUUUUUUUUCCAAAAAAUAAAUUCAGUGACCAGAAUACAACAGGGUUCAUACAAUGUCUGAUUCCUAACUGUGAGGUUGAUGGUGUGGCCAGGUAAUAUUUGAUGGCAAAUUAAUUGCUAUGAUCUUUGCAGCAUUUUUAUUUUUUUCAGCUUGCAUUUUGUAUUUAAUUGUUCACUAAAUCAAUUAAGUGAUGAAUGUAAAAUUGGACUCCUUGCGUUUUGAGGGAUAAGAUGGUACAACUUCUGUUUAAUAAAAAAAGGAAGAAUAAUAACAAAAAAGCAUCAGUGUUCUUCAGGUCUCUGUCCUUUCACAAUAAUUCUAUUCCUGAUAUAGGCAGAGGUUUUUUAUCAGAAAAGUGAUUUCUAUCUAAAGCUAAGAUACAAUUGUAGAUGUAAUUGUUCAGCUCUUAUGUUAACAGGAAGGACACAAACCAAAACUUGUUGUUUCUGACUGGCCAAAUCUCCCCAGGUAUCUAUCUCUUCAUUAACAUACAUGUUCAAGUAUUCCAGUGUGAAUUCAAUGACUGAAACCGAUUCAGACCUAAAUAAUACGCUCACAACGCCUACCUGUAAGGGCACAGUCUAGCAGUGAAGUCCUCAGUUAUUUCAGAGGAAGCUUAAGCUUAUUUCCUUGAAGUGUGUGUGUGUGUAUGUGUGU
Gavialis gangeticus (Gharial) is the source of this 3396-nucleotide long non-coding RNA. RefSeq lists it as uncharacterized. The record is from RefSeq and is a predicted model, not a curated record. The transcript is spliced from 3 exons. NCBI's taxonomy places the organism in Eukaryota, Metazoa, Chordata, Crocodylia, Gavialidae.